Molecule: transfer RNA, 74 nt
Filed under: Gemmatimonadota bacterium
Lineage: Bacteria; Pseudomonadati; Gemmatimonadota
Description: tRNA-Ile
Rfam family: tRNA
About the family: Transfer RNA (tRNA) molecules are approximately 80 nucleotides in length. Their secondary structure includes four short double-helical elements and three loops (D, anti-codon, and T loops).
Source: RNAcentral
GGGGCCUUAGCUCAGCUGGUUAGAGCAGUGGACUCAUAAUCCAACGGUCGUGGGUUCAAGUCCCACAGGCCCCA